CGGACUUGAGCUUCUGUCGGACUUCUGAAAGUAUGUCUAGAUCGACUCUCCGACGCUCUGAAUUGCUUGGCUCAUUGUAUUGUUCUACCCUUGCUGAUGGUAAUCUAAUCUUAAGUGGAAUCAUCGCUUCUGUUUCAUAAGCAAGAUUGAAUGGCAAUUCUUCCAUUGGUAUGCGAGUUGUUCGAUAUGCCCAUAGGAUCGGAUACAGUUCUUUCACCCAAAGAUCUUUAGCUUCAUUCAGUCGGAUUUUGAGUCUAUGCAAGAUUGUUUGGUUUGUCACUUUCACUUCACCAUU
This 295-nucleotide long non-coding RNA is filed under the name Elaeis guineensis (African oil palm). Its description in RNAcentral is "long non-coding RNA (EGUI_LNC030882)". The record is from RNAcentral. Lineage: Eukaryota; Viridiplantae; Streptophyta; Magnoliopsida; Arecales; Arecaceae.